UACGUAGGCAGCGAGCGUUGUUCGGAGUUACUGGGCGUAAAGGGCGCGUAGGCGGUCACGCACGUCCGUUGUGAAAUCGCUCGGCUCAACUGGGCGGGGUCAGCGGAUACGGCGUGGCUGGAGCAAGCUAGGGGGCAAUGGAAUUCCCGGUGUAGUGGUGGAAUGCGUAGAUAUCGGGAGGAACACCAGUGGCGAAGGCGGUUGCCUGGAGCUUUGCUGACGCUGAUGCGCGAAAGCGUGGGGAGCGAUCCGG
RNAcentral lists this ribosomal RNA (253 nucleotides) under uncultured bacterium. RNAcentral describes it as "partial 16S ribosomal RNA". It matches the Rfam family "Bacterial small subunit ribosomal RNA", at positions 524 to 776 of the family's 1533-position model. The record is from RNAcentral.